This 439-nucleotide ribosomal RNA is filed under the name uncultured bacterium. RNAcentral describes it as "bacterial SSU rRNA". It matches the Rfam family "Bacterial small subunit ribosomal RNA", at positions 958 to 1397 of the family's 1533-position model. The record is from RNAcentral.
AACGCGAAGAACCUUACCUACCCUUGACAUCCUAGGAAUCCUGAAGAGAUUUGGGAGUGCCGAAAGGAACCUGGAGACAGGUGCUGCAUGGCUGUCGUCAGCUCGUGUUGUGAGAUGUUGGGUUAAGUCCCGUAACGAGCGCAACCCUUGUCCUUAGUUGCCAUCAUUUAGUUGGGGACUCUAAGGAGACUGCCGGUGAUGAACCGGAGGAAGGCGGGGACGACGUCAAGUCAUCAUGGCCUUUAUGGGUAGGGCCACACACGUGCUACAAUGGCGCGUACAGAGGGUAGCCAACCAGCGAUGGGGAGCCAAUCUCAGAAAGCGCGUCGUAGUCCGGAUCGGAGUCUGCAACUCGACUCCGUGAAGUCGGAAUCGCUAGUAAUCGCGAAUCAGCUAUGUCGCGGUGAAUACGUUCCCGGGCCUUGUACACACCGAUAGC